GACGAACGCUGGCGGCGUGCUUAACACAUGCAAGUCGAACGGUGAAGCUCCAGCUUGCUGGAGUGGAUCAGUGGCGAACGGGUGAGUAACACGUGAGCAACCUGCCCCUGACUCUGGAAUAAGCGCUGGAAACGGCGUCUAAUACUGGAUACGAGAAGGGUCCGCAUGGGCACUUUCUGGAAAGUUUUUCGGUUGGGGAUGGGCUCGCGGCCUAUCAGCUUGUUGGUGAGGUAAUGGCUCACCAAGGCGACGACGGGUAGCCGGCCUGAGAGGGCGACCGGCCACACUGGGACUGAGACACGGCCCAGACUCCUACGGGAGGCAGCAGUGGGGAAUAUUGCACAAUGGGCGAAAGCCUGAUGCAGCGACGCCGCGUGAGGGAUGACGGCCCUCGGGUUGUAAACCUCUUUCAGCAGGGAAGAAGCGAAAGUGACGGUACCUGCAGAAGAAGCACCGGCUAACUACGUG
This 468-nucleotide ribosomal RNA is filed under the name uncultured bacterium. Its description in RNAcentral is "partial 16S ribosomal RNA". It matches the Rfam family "Bacterial small subunit ribosomal RNA", at positions 28 to 507 of the family's 1533-position model. The record is from RNAcentral.